UACGGAGGGUGCAAGCGUUAUCCGGAUUCACUGGGUUUAAAGGGUGCGUAGGAGGGCAGGUAAGUCAGUGGUGAAAUCUCCAAGCUUAACUUGGAAACUGCCGUUGAUACUAUCUGUCUUGAAUAUUGUGGAGGUGAGCGGAAUAUGUCAUGUAGCGGUGAAAUGCUUAGAUAUGACAUAGAACACCAAUUGCGAAGGCAGCUCACUACACAAUCAUUGACUCUGAGGCACGGAAGCGUGGGGAUCAAACAGG
Molecule: ribosomal RNA, 253 nt
Filed under: uncultured bacterium
Lineage: Bacteria
Description: partial 16S ribosomal RNA
Rfam family: Bacterial small subunit ribosomal RNA
Source: RNAcentral